CCCCACCCACAUCCAUCAAUCACCUCCACACAUAUUCAGGCAUUUCUACCCCUUCCACCAUUAGUUCUCCCUCUCCCUCAGUGCACUGAUUUGCCUGCUUGCCCUAAUCCAUCAAUUUGUCUCCCACCAAUUCUAUCCGCCCUCACUAUCCAUCAGUCCUCUUUCCAUUCCAUUAAUCCUAUCAUUCCUCCAUUCCAUUAGUCUCUCUCUUUGUCCCCAUCUAUAAAUCCUCCAUUCCCAGAUGCUCAGUCCUCCCCCAGGAUUACGAUAUUGAUAUCCAGAAGAAAAGAAAAAAAACAGCCUUGCAGUUGUAUUUCCACAGGGAAACCAUAACAUUUGGAGUACAAGUGUUAUCACCAGUCAUAAGUCUUCCUCAGAAGCCAGGUCAGUGCUGCUGACCAAUAUGAAAAUCAACCCCCAUGUGUUCCAGUGAGGAUCUAUGUAAACUAGGUGAGAAGAAAAGCCCAGCACCAGGUCCAUCUGAUGAAGGAAGUCUGGCAGCACUGGUAAAGAGCACUGGGCCUUGCAGCAGACCUGGAGAGAGUGAGCUGGAGGCAAUCUGAACACCUCUAAGAACCACAGCUGCCUUGGGGGAACUGCCAAUAUGACCCCUUUUAAUGGACUCUGAACUUAUUUUACACAAAUGACAUGACAAGAAGAACAACACAUGCUGCAAUGGCAGUUUGUAGAGAACGAUAAAGAAGUAAAGAAGUUGAAUGAGAAAGAUAAGAGAGAAUGGCUUGACAAAAAAAAAAUGCAAGAGAAGCCAAAGAAGCAUCAGUGAGAAGUGACUCAAAGAAAUUAUUCCAGGUGUGUAAGCAAUUAUCAUCACAGUUUCAGAGUCACAGUGGUAUCAUAAAAGCGGAAGAUGGAAGAUUCUUAACAACGGAAGCAGAACAAAAGGAAUUAUGGUGAGAAUGUUUUAAUGAAGUGCUCAGUCAACCUGAGCCAACAAUUGCAAUCAAUGGAUGUGAAGAAGGUGAUAAAGAAAGCAGAAAUAGAGGAAGUCAUUAAGCUGCUAAAAUGGCAAAGCACAUGGUCAAGAUAAGAUCACUGCUAAAACGCUUGAAGGUGGGGAGGAAGUGGAAGAACAUGAAAUACAUAAACUUUGCAAUAUAGUUUGGGAGAAAUAAUUUUUCCUUGAGGAGUGGAAGAAAGGUGUGAUCUGUAAAUUACCAAAGAAACUCUGUACUGAGCAAGCAGGCUUUAGACUUUAAAGAUUGUGUAUACAUCACAUCUUUACCCUGUGUCAAUUGACUGAGGAAAGAUUACCAAUGAAGAUUAGUCUUGAACUUAAUACAUUUCAUCAAAGCUUUUAACUGCAUUAAUAGAGUGUUUCUAUGGAAGAUCUUGCAACAACAUGGGCUUCCUAGAAAGAUAGUGUCACUGAUUCAGAUGCUGUAUGAAGGUUGAAAAAUGUUGUUUAAGAACAGAAAGUGGAAAGACUGACUGGUUUGAUAUCAU
This 1464-nucleotide long non-coding RNA is filed under the name Chrysemys picta bellii (western painted turtle). RNAcentral describes it as "lncRNA (ENSCPBG00000019849.1)". Lineage: Eukaryota; Metazoa; Chordata; Testudines; Emydidae. The record is from RNAcentral.